UCAAGCUUUUUUUAUAAUAAC
This 21-nucleotide non-coding RNA is filed under the name Caenorhabditis elegans. The record is from RNAcentral. Lineage: Eukaryota; Metazoa; Nematoda; Chromadorea; Rhabditida; Rhabditidae.